CGCAACCAUGAAGGUAAAGAUUCAAAGCCAGAUUAUUCAAUUCUGAAUUGAAUAGUGUAACGGCUUCCUCCAUUAAAAUUGCCCAUCAAAACUCUGUAGAACUUCUCCUCCCGUAUGACAUCCAAACGCUUCACCUUCAUCCAAACUACACCUAUAUAUAACCGAGCUCAAGAUCAGUUCAUGUGUUACAAAAAAACAUCCACCAUCGACGUAUCUACAGCCGUUCUCUUUGAAGAUGUUGUUCCCAGAGUGUCCGAGGAGGCAGCGUUGAUUUUUCGGAUGUUCGAAAUCAAGUAAA
RNAcentral lists this long non-coding RNA (298 nucleotides) under Brassica napus (rape). RNAcentral describes it as "long non-coding RNA (BNAP_LNC018519)". The record is from RNAcentral. Lineage: Eukaryota; Viridiplantae; Streptophyta; Magnoliopsida; Brassicales; Brassicaceae.